Molecule: small nucleolar RNA, 75 nt
Organism: Phragmites australis (common reed)
Lineage: Eukaryota; Viridiplantae; Streptophyta; Magnoliopsida; Poales; Poaceae
Product: small nucleolar RNA R66
Exons: 1
Source: RefSeq, a predicted model, not a curated record
UCCCGUGAUGGCAUGAAAUCUUUGAGACCUGACAAUUUUCUUCCUUGAUGUAAAUCAAAAGCAUGAUUUUCGAUC